Long non-coding RNA from Triticum dicoccoides, 356 nucleotides. RefSeq lists it as uncharacterized. The record is from RefSeq and is a predicted model, not a curated record. The transcript is spliced from 3 exons. NCBI's taxonomy places the organism in Eukaryota, Viridiplantae, Streptophyta, Magnoliopsida, Poales, Poaceae.
AUAGCAUCCAUCUUGACCAAACAAGUACUGAUAACCUUCUCUUCCACUAUUAGGGCAUUGAUAUGCUCUUUUGAAUAAUUUCCAGUUUUCGAAGUCCAUCGCUGUAUUUUGGUUGGUUCAUAAAUGCACCAUUAUGUGAAGAUUCCGUAAUGAUGCUUUUAUUUGGUUUCACUUGGUGCAGGGCAAGAAAUUAGUUUUUGUAACAAACAAUUCUAGGAAGUCGAGAAGGCAGUAUUCAAAGAAAUUCAAAACACUUGGCCUUGAAGUUACUGAGGAAGAGAUCUUCAUGUCAUCAUUUGCAGCAGCCAUGUUCUUGAAGUUAAAUAAUUUUUCUCCAGAAAAGAAGAAGUAUGACU